CCUACGGGUGGCUGCAGUGAGGAAUAUUGGUCAAUGGCCGGAAGUCUGAACCAGCCAAGCCGCGUGCAGGCCGACGGUUCCAAGCAUUGUAAACUUCUUUUGUCAAGGGACAAAAUCAGGCUCGAGAGCCUGACCGAAGGUACUUUAAGAAAAAGCAUCGGCUAACUCCGUGCCAGCAGCCGCGGUAAUACGGAGGAUGCAAGCGUUAUCCGGAUUUAUUGGGUUUAAAGGGUGCGUAGGCGGACUGUUAAGUAAGAGGUAAAAGCCCGGGGUUCAACCCCGGAGAGCCGUUGAUACUGUCUGUCUAGAGAGGACGUGAGGUAUGCGGAAUG
RNAcentral lists this ribosomal RNA (332 nucleotides) under uncultured bacterium. RNAcentral describes it as "partial 16S ribosomal RNA". It matches the Rfam family "Bacterial small subunit ribosomal RNA", at positions 338 to 668 of the family's 1533-position model. The record is from RNAcentral.